AGAAUGAACGCUGGCGGCAUGCCUAACACAUGCAAGUCGAACGAGACCUUCGGGUCUAGUGGCGCACGGGUGCGUAACGCGUGGGAAUCUGCCCCUUGGCUCGGAAUAACAGUUGGAAACGACUGCUAAUACCGGAUGACGACGUAAGUCCAAAGAUUUAUCGCCAAGGGAUGAGCCCGCGUAGGAUUAGGUAGUUGGUGUGGUAAAGGCGCACCAAGCCGACGAUCCUUAGCUGGUCUGAGAGGAUGAUCAGCCACACUGGGACUGAGACACGGCCCAGACUCCUACGGGAGGCAGCAGUGGGGAAUAUUGGACAAUGGGCGAAAGCCUGAUCCAGCAAUGCCGCGUGAGUGAUGAAGGCCUUAGGGUUGUAAAGCUCUUUUACCCGGGAUGAUAAUGACAGUACCGGGAGAAUAAGCUCCGGCUAACUCCGUGCCAGCAGCCGC
This 446-nucleotide ribosomal RNA is filed under the name uncultured bacterium. Its description in RNAcentral is "SSU rRNA". It matches the Rfam family "Bacterial small subunit ribosomal RNA", at positions 26 to 518 of the family's 1533-position model. The record is from RNAcentral.